GGCUUCUUAGUUUAGUGGUUAUAAUGUCAGUUUUACACACUGAAGGUCGCCAGUUCGAUCCUGGCAGAAGUCA
This is a non-coding RNA of Atractiella rhizophila, 73 nucleotides long. The record is from the annotation of a GenBank genome assembly. Lineage: Eukaryota; Fungi; Basidiomycota; Atractiellomycetes; Atractiellales; Hoehnelomycetaceae.